AGCAGCCGCGGUAAUUCCAGCUCCAAUAGCGUAUAUUAAAGUUGUUGCAGUUAAAAGCUCGUAGUUGAAUUUCGGGAUCAGCGCGUCGGUCGUGCCUCCGGUAUGCACUGGCGCCGCUGGUUUCUCCCUUCUGAGGAACCGUGAUGUCAUUAAUUUGGUGUUGCGGGAAAUCAGGACUGUUACUUUGAAAAAUUGAGUGUUUAAAGCGGGCACGCGCUUGAAUACAUUAGCAUGGAAUAACGAAAUAGGACGUUCGAUCUUAUUUUGUUGGUUUCUAGGAUUGACGUAAUGAUUAAUAGGGAUAGUUGGGGGCAUUAGUAUUCAAUUGUCAGAGGUGAAAUUCUUGGAUUUAUUGAAGACUAACUACUGCGAAAGCAUUUGCCAAGGAUGUUUUCAUUAAUCAAGAACGAAAGUUAGGGAUCGAAGACGAUCAGAUACCGUCGUAGUCUU
Molecule: ribosomal RNA, 450 nt
Filed under: uncultured Glomeromycotina
Lineage: Eukaryota; Fungi; Glomeromycota
Description: SSU rRNA
Rfam family: Eukaryotic small subunit ribosomal RNA
Source: RNAcentral